This 868-nucleotide ribosomal RNA is filed under the name uncultured archaeon. RNAcentral's name for it is "bacterial SSU rRNA". It matches the Rfam family "Archaeal small subunit ribosomal RNA", at positions 5 to 879 of the family's 1478-position model. The record is from RNAcentral.
CGGUUGAUCCUGCCGGAGGUCACUGCUAUUGGGAUUCGACUAAGCCAUGCGAGUCGAGAGGGUUCGGCCCUCGGCUGACGGCUCAGUAACACGUGGAUAAUCUGCCCUUAGGUGGAGGAUACCCUCGGGAAACUGAGAAUAAUACUCCAUAGGCCUAGGAUGCUGGAAUGCACCUAGGCUGAAAGUUCCGGCGCCUAAGGAUGAGUCUGCGGACUAUCAGGUUGUAGUCAGGGUAAAGACCUGACUAGCCUACGACGGAUACGGGUUGUGAGAGCAAUAACCCGGAGAUGAUAUCUGAGACACGAUAUCAGGCCCUACGGGGCGCAGCAGGCGCGAAAACUUCACACUGUGCGAAAGCACGAUGAGGGAAUCCCAAGUGCUUGCACGUAAGUGUAAGCUGUUUUUCUGUCUAAAACACAGAGAGAGUAAGAGCUGGGUAAGACGGGUGCCAGCCGCCGCGGUAAUACCUGCAGCUCAAGUGGUGGCCGCUAUUAUUGGGCCUAAAACGUUCGUAGCCGGUUUAGUAAAUGCCUGGGUAAAUCGUGUAGCUUAACUAUACGAAUUCCGGGUAGACUGCUGAACUUGAGACCGGGAGAGGCUAGAGGUACUCCUGGGGUAGAGGUGAAAUUCUGUAAUCCUAGGGGGACCACCAGUGGCGAAGGCGUCUAGCUAGAACGGAUCUGACGGUGAGGGACGAAGCCCUGGGGCGCGAACCGGAUUAGAUACCCGGGUAGUCCAGGGUGUAAACGCUGCUUGCUUGAUGUUAGUUGGGCUCCGANCCCAAUUAGUGUCGGAGAGAAGUUGUCAAGCAAGCUGCCUGGGAAGUACGGNCGCANACUGAAACUUAAAGGAAUUGGCGGGGGANCAC